AUGAGCUGCAAGUACAAAACGCUAGAUCAAAUGUAGCCUCUACCAUCUUCCUCAAUUGUCGGCGAACGGAUACCAUUCUUUCCCAUUCCUCUCUCAAUUCCAUCUGUCAAAGGUUUGAAUUGGUUCCUUUACACCAUCAAGCAAAAACUUGUUCUCUGUUAAGUUGACAUAUCAAAGUUUGGGAUGGACCAAGAUCAUACCAGUCAGUGUGCAACUUGCAAUGGCUUCCUGAGGAGACGUGGAACGGAUAAAACGUAUGGAAUAAAGCUGGUUUGAGGUGAACUCUUUUUUCCUCCAAUCCACAUCGUAACAAUAGUUUCUUUUAUAUUUUUAUGCAGAUUUUAUAUGG
This is a long non-coding RNA of Populus euphratica (Euphrates poplar), 349 nucleotides long. RefSeq lists it as uncharacterized. The transcript is spliced from 3 exons. Lineage: Eukaryota; Viridiplantae; Streptophyta; Magnoliopsida; Malpighiales; Salicaceae. The record is from RefSeq and is a predicted model, not a curated record.